CUACGUGCCAGCAGCCGCGGUAAUACGGAAGGUCCAGGCGUUAUCCGGAUUUAUUGGGUUUAAAGGGAGCGUAGGCUGGAUAUUAAGUGUGUUGUGAAAUGUAGACGCUCAACGUCUGACUUGCAGCGCAUACUGGUUUCCUUGAGUACGCACAACGUUGGCGGAAUUCGUCGUGUAGCGGUGAAAUGCUUAGAUAUGACGAAGAACUCCGAUUGCGAAGGCAGCUGACGGGAGCGCAACUGACGCUUAAGCUCGAAGGUGCGGGUAUCAAACAGGAUUAGAUACCCUGGUAGUCCGCACAGUAAACGAUGGAUGCCCGCUGUUGGUACCUGGUAUCAGCGGCUAAGCGAAAGCAUUAAGCAUCCCACCUGGGGAGUACGCCGGCAACGGUGAAACUCAAAGGAAUUGACGGGGGCCCGCACAAGCGGAGGAACAUGUGGUUUAAUUCGAUGAUACGCGAGGAACCUUACCUGGUCUUGACAUCC
RNAcentral lists this ribosomal RNA (485 nucleotides) under uncultured bacterium. Its description in RNAcentral is "bacterial SSU rRNA". It matches the Rfam family "Bacterial small subunit ribosomal RNA", at positions 501 to 989 of the family's 1533-position model. The record is from RNAcentral.